Antechinus flavipes (yellow-footed antechinus) is the source of this 1143-nucleotide long non-coding RNA. RefSeq lists it as uncharacterized. NCBI's taxonomy places the organism in Eukaryota, Metazoa, Chordata, Mammalia, Dasyuromorphia, Dasyuridae. The record is from RefSeq and is a predicted model, not a curated record. The transcript has 4 exons.
CUGAGGAAGGCUGCAGGGCUUUGAAAGAAUAUGGAUGGCAGGCUGAGUUUCAGUGGGGAUUAUGGAAGCAAAUGCUUUACAGAUUAAUCUUUCUCCAAGUCCCAAGCAUAUAGAUUUAGAGAUUUAGAAUAGAUGAGUCAGAACAGUUGAUCUAAAGCCCCUGCUCACAGAUGAAGUGUCUUAGUAUCAGAGGGAGUGAAUGAAUCUUUCAAAGUCACAAAGUAGACAAGGAAAUAGCUACAGACAAAGGAUAUAGUUUCAAUGUUGAAGUAUCUCAUUGGCAGAGACAGGAUUUUGUUCCCAUCUGAUGCCUAAGUUUUUUGGACCAUAUACAGACUGAUACUAAGCAAUUAAUGUCUGCCAAGAAUUCCCUCAGAGAAAGUAGUGAAGGAAGCAUCAGAAGAGGAAGUUAAAGGGAGAAAUCAUAAAACUCUGCAUGUGGUAUAUGUCACUUUGGAUCUGAAUACCAGUUUUUUCCCUGUCCAAGAGAAUAAGGAAUGCAAUCUUCUGAAGAUAUCCUGUGCAUUCUCUACCUUUUUCAGAUUAUAACUGGAGUCUUUGUGACUCCCAGAUUCUCAUGUGUCGUACAAUCCAUUCAAAAGGAUGAAAAAGGCUUAUUUCAGCCCAAGAUCUCAGAAUAGACAUGCUAAGCCUAGAGCCAUUGAAUUUUUAAGUUUCUUCAUAUAUAGGUCUUUCUGUCAAGAACAGCAACAACUUUAGUGACCUAUAGAAAAGAAGUAUUCUUCACUGAAUUUUGGUUGCAAUUACACAUUAUGGUCCCAUCUGUCAGAACAGGAAGAAAUCUCAAUCGUCACCAAGUUUAAUAAACUAAUAUACUUGGAAAAAAACAAUGACUGGAGAGUUUAAUUAAUUGCACAGGUCUGCAUAGAUAAUGAGUAUCUUACAGAAAUUGAAAAUUUUGUUUUUCUUCACUAGAAAGGCCACAGUCCUAUUCACUGCAUUUUGCUGCCAUCUGUUAUUUUAGAUAUAACUAUUAAUUUUUUUAUUUUUAUAUUUUAAAAAUAUUUUUCUUCAUAAUUUUUAUUUGAAUAUUAAAAUAUUAUCAGAUAUAUCCCAGUUUCUGCAGAAAUUUGUUAAAAGAAAUAAUGAUAGAUGGGGAUUGUAAGGGAAAAGGAGAGAGAA